This 301-nucleotide ribosomal RNA is filed under the name uncultured bacterium. Its description in RNAcentral is "partial 16S ribosomal RNA". It matches the Rfam family "Bacterial small subunit ribosomal RNA", at positions 509 to 808 of the family's 1533-position model. The record is from RNAcentral.
CAGCCGCCACGGUAAUACGUAGGUCCCGAGCGUUGUCCGGAUUUAUUGGGCGUAAAGCGAGCGCAGGCGGUUAGAUAAGUCUGAAGUUAAAGGCUGUGGCUUAACCAUAGUACGCCUUGGAAACUAUUUAACUUGAGUGCAAGAGGGGAGAGUGGAAUUCCAUGUGUAGCGGUGAAAUGCGUAGAUAUAUGGAGGAACACCGGUGGCGAAAGCGGCUCUCUGGCUUGUAACUGACGCUGAGGCUCGAGAGCGUGGGGCGCAAACAGGAUUAGAUACCCCCGUAGUCCCUGUCUCUUAUACA